UGCAGCCUUGUCAAAUUCAGUGGGCCUGUUCUCAUGGACCUCACUGGCCAAAAUGGCUGCCACAUCAGCUGUAGUUCAUGGGCCUUGCCUUCCUGUGCGGUGGGAGGUGGGGAUAAAAAUUUUCUACAGACAUUU
Nothobranchius furzeri (turquoise killifish) is the source of this 135-nucleotide small nucleolar RNA. NCBI's taxonomy places the organism in Eukaryota, Metazoa, Chordata, Actinopteri, Cyprinodontiformes, Nothobranchiidae. The record is from Ensembl.